Lynx canadensis (Canada lynx) is the source of this 426-nucleotide long non-coding RNA. RefSeq lists it as uncharacterized. The record is from RefSeq and is a predicted model, not a curated record. The transcript is spliced from 3 exons. NCBI's taxonomy places the organism in Eukaryota, Metazoa, Chordata, Mammalia, Carnivora, Felidae.
GAAGGAAGAGGCCACAGCAUCUGUCUCCCUCCGCUUUGGGAAGCAACUCCGCUGUAUCUUCGAGUGUCCAGCCCCUCGGAAGUUCCCGUUUCCGCUGGGUGGUCCUGGAUCCUGGACUCUGGUGCAGCCUAAUUCCCCUCUCCUGGACCAGGAGGCAGAACUGGCUUUGUGACUCACCUCUGUCUAGGAGAAUGUGGCAAAUGUGACAAUGUGUGACUUCUGAUGCUAAGUCAUAAAAGGCUGUCCCCAAACCACCGCGAGAUGGCCACCAGCAGCCUCAGGCUUCCAGCCGAGUUUUGCAUCAACCACACGGGAAGAACAAUGAACCAAAUGAAAAAUUACCUUUUCUCAGAGGUCCAGGAGGAACACCUGGGUGGCUCAGUUGGUUAAGCGUCCGACUUCGGCUCGGGUCAUGAUCUCGCGGUU